Molecule: ribosomal RNA, 471 nt
Filed under: uncultured bacterium
Lineage: Bacteria
Description: bacterial SSU rRNA
Rfam family: Bacterial small subunit ribosomal RNA
Source: RNAcentral
ACUCCUACGGGAGGCAGCAGUGGGGAAUAUUGCACAAUGGGGAAACCCUGAUGCAGCCAUGCCGCGUGUGUGAAGAAGGCCUCGGUUGUAAAGCACUUUCAGUAGGGAGGAAGGUAGUGUAGUUAACACCUGCAUUAUUUGACGUUACCUACAGAAGAAGCACCGGCUAACUCCGUGCCAGCAGCCGCGGUAAUACGGAGGGGUGCGAGCGUUAAUCGGAAUUACUGGGCGUAAAGCGCAUGCAGGCGGCCUGUUAAGUCAGAUGUGAAAGCCCGGGGGCUUAACCUCGGAAUUGCAUUUGAAACUGGCAGGCUAGAGUCUUGUAGAGGGGGUAGAAUUUCAGGUGUAGCGGUGAAAUGCGUAGAGAUCUGAAGGAAUACCAGUGGCGAAGGCGGCCCCCUGGACAAAGACUGACGCUCAGAUGCGAAAGCGUGGGGAGCAAACAGGAUUAGAUACCCUGGUAGACUGUCA